RNAcentral lists this transfer RNA (69 nucleotides) under Dolichovespula xanthicincta. RNAcentral's name for it is "tRNA-Met". Lineage: Eukaryota; Metazoa; Arthropoda; Insecta; Hymenoptera; Vespidae. The record is from RNAcentral.
AUAUAAAUCAGCUAAAAUUAAGCUAAUAGGUUCAUACCCUAGAAAUAUAAUUUUAAAUUAUUUUAUAUA